GAAAACACCAAGCCUAAUCCGAUCCACGGGCAAUCCUCUAGGGGAGUUCAUGGAAAGGAGCCGGGGAACCACCAGCAUUCAUCUGGGGUGAAUUCCCGCAAGAGCGGCGAUCUGAUCGCCGUGGAGUGGGGUAGGGAAGCUUCCGUCUCCCAACCCGACAGCUAACCCGGUAGGCGCACAGGAAGAUUUG
This 190-nucleotide small RNA is filed under the name Corynebacterium testudinoris. Its description in RNAcentral is "c-di-AMP sequence". It matches the Rfam family "c-di-AMP riboswitch aptamer (ydaO/yuaA leader)". Rfam says of the family: This family represents a conserved RNA structure found upstream of the ydaO and yuaA genes in Bacillus subtilis and related genes in other bacteria. The ydaO/yuaA element is thought to act as a genetic "off" switch for the ydaO and yuaA genes in its native state. Lineage: Bacteria; Bacillati; Actinomycetota; Actinomycetes; Mycobacteriales; Corynebacteriaceae. The record is from Rfam by way of RNAcentral.